RNAcentral lists this long non-coding RNA (1660 nucleotides) under Lathyrus oleraceus (garden pea). Its description in RNAcentral is "Pisum sativum (pea) long non-coding RNA (PSAT_LNC029744)". Lineage: Eukaryota; Viridiplantae; Streptophyta; Magnoliopsida; Fabales; Fabaceae. The record is from RNAcentral.
AAAAAAACAUAAAUAUAUUAAAACAAAAUUAAAAAAAACACAGAACAUUAUUAUCGUUAUGCUAUAUUAAAAAAAUUCACAAACUUGCAAAAACAAAAUAUAAAACAAAAAUUUAACAUAUUUACAUUAAUGCCAUUAAUGAAAAAUCAUUAUUUUCCAUAUAUUUUCAAAACACCAAAUAGAAAAGAAAAACAUCCAAAAGAUGUUUCCACUUUUUAAUUUUUAAAAACAGAAUACUAAAAUUAAUUAUGAAAACUUUAUGACAUAAGAGUCUUAUCAAACAAAUUUUUUGUUUUAUAAUUUUUUAGAACUAAAAUACAGUUCUUAGAAAUCAAUUCAAACAGGCCCUUACUCUCCCUACCAUCUAUUUUACCUAUUUGAUAUGGUACGCUAGGUCUUAAUUUUCUGACAAGUUUGAAGGUACGAUAUGUCCACCUCAAGAUGAUAAUCUACGGACAAGAUAGAAGCUAACCUUGCACAAACCGUUUUGGCUGAGAAUCCCGCGGUGUCGUUCCACCAAAAAAAAUUGUCAACAACAUUCGGAAUCAAAUUAAGAAUGAGAAGAAGAUAAUUUAAAUCUGUCUGAGAAGCUUCCACAAGAAAAUCAGAAUUAAAUUGAGGUUCCAAGACCAAACACCAUGGCACCACUACCCCAAUUCCUCUAUAGAAGGUCUAGAAAAUUGUACCUUUUCAAACUGACUAGAAAAUUGCAGCUUCAAUUGGGCACUUCCAAUCCAUUGAUUUCUCCAAAAGUCAAUAUAGGAACCCUUACAUAGCUUGCAAGAAAACCCAUUAUCUAACCAAUUUGCUUCGCCACCCCUAAUACCUAAGGAGACCCUUAGAUCCCUCAAAUAAAAGAGUUUAAAUAAAUAAUGCCAAAUAAAAGAUAUAAUAGUUUUAAUGAGUCAUCAAUAUAGACUAUAUUAAAAAAAUAAACUUUACCAAUUUAAAUAUAUUUUUAUAAAUUUACUUUUGAUUAAAAAUAAUUAAUUGAGAGAGUUCUAUAUUAAAGUGGAUUUUUUAUACGAUUAAAAAUAAAUAAAAAGUAUGAUACAGAAAAAAAAAACAUAAAUAUAUUAAAACAAAAUUAAAAAAAACACAGAACAUUAUUAUCGUUAUGCUAUAUUAAAAAAAAUCACAAACAUGCAAAAAUAAAAUAUAAAACAAAAAUUUAACAUUUUACAUUAAUGCCAUUAAUGAAAAAUAAUUAUUUUCCAUAUAUUUUCUAAACACCAAAUAGAAAAGAAAAACAUCAAAAAGAUGUUUCCACUUUUUAAUUUUUAAAAACAGAAUACUGAAAUUAAUUAUGAAAACUCUAUGACAUAAAAGUCUUAUCAAACAAAUUUUUUGUUUUAUAAUUUUUUAGAACUAAAAUACAGUUCUUAGAAAUCAAUUCAAACAGGCCCUUACUCUCCCUACCAAGAUUAAAAUGCGAAUAACUAUACCAUGCGAUCCACUUAAUUUUCUGACAAGUUUGAAGGUACGAUAUGUCCACCUCAAGAUGAUAAUCUACGGACAAGAUAGAAGCUAACCUUGCACAAACCGUUUUGACUGAGAAUCCCACGGUGUCUUUCCACCAGAAAAAAUUGUCAACAACAUUCAGAAUCAAAUUAAGAAUGAGAAGAAGAUCAUUUAAAUCUGUCUGAGAAGCUUCCACAAG